CGACUUCCCAGCAGCCCCCGCGCCGUUUCCGUGGCGACGGUGUCAAACAACCACGCCCUCCGAGGCAUGGAGCUUUAAGCAUGGCCGGGCGUCGCGGGUCCCGGACCAGGAAAGGAGUUGUAUAGCUGCUUUUAGACAUGAUCUGUGGAUUUUCCAUAUUUCUGGCAUCAAUAAACACUUCCUGCCUGACUCUUUGACCAUUAACCGGGAGGCCUGGCUGUUUCUGGGAAAGAACAAGUGAGUUUUACCUUGGAGCAAUGCUGAAAUUUGAAGAGACCGCUAAGUGCCUGAGUGGUUCUACAGCCAUUUCCAAGUAUCCAACUACCUUGAUUGCAAGAAGAUAUGUUCUUCAACAGAAACUUGGCAGUGGAAGUUUUGGAACUGUCUAUCUGGUGUCAGACAAGAAAGCCAAACAGGGAGAGGAACUAAAGGUACUCAAGGAAAUCUGUGUUGGAGAAUUAAAUCCGAAUGAAACUGUUCAGGCCAAUGUGGAAGCCCAGCUCCUUUCCAAGCUAAAUCAUCCAGCCAUUGUCAAGUUCCAUGCAAGCUUCGUGGAGCAGAACAAUUUUUGCAUUAUCACAGAAUACUGUGAGGGCCGAGAUCUGGACUAUAAAAUUCAGGAAUAUAAAGAAGUCGGGAAAAUCUUUCCUGAAAACCAGAUAGUAGAAUGGUUUAUCCAGUUGUUGCUUGGAGUUGAUUAUAUGCAUGAGAGGAGGAUACUCCAUCGCGACUUGAAAUCAAAGAAUAUAUUUCUGAAAAAUAAUCAACUUAAAAUCGGGGAUUUUGGAGUUUCUCGACUGCUGAUGGGAUCAUGUGAGCUGGCUACAACUUUGACUGGGACUCCCUAUUACAUGAGUCCUGAGGCCCUGAAGCACCAAGGCUAUGACGCCAAGUCUGACAUCUGGUCGCUGGCAUGCAUUUUAUAUGAGAUGUGUUGCAUGGAUCAUGCAUUUGCUGGUUCCAGUUUCUUGUCUGUAGUUUUCAAUAUUGUUGAAGGCGACACACCUUCACUCCCCGAGAGAUACCCACGAGAACUAAACACCGUCAUGGAAUGCAUGUUGAACAAGAGUCCUUCACUGAGACCAUCUGCUGUAGAAGUUUUAAAAGUCCCUUACAUCGACGAGCAGCUUCAGCACCUGAUGUGUAAAUAUUCAGAAAUGACGCUGGAAGACAAGAACUCAGUUUGUCAGAAGGAUGCUGUUCAUAUAAUUAAUGCCAUAAAGAUUGUGGAAGAAAAAUAUAAAGAAAAUAACAAAUGGAUGCAGGAAUCGAGAUUCCAGGAUUUUGAACAUCCAAGCGUCAAUGUGCUCCAUGAAUUAGAUGAACGGACUUCAGAGAACCUGCCUGAGCCUCGUUCCCUUCCUUCCCUGGACCUCAAUGAAGUUGAGCCAAGUUUAGACGACACCAUAGUUGGCCUUGGACAUUAUGGGAUCCCAGAAGACCCACUUGUUGCUGAAGAGUAUUAUGCUGAUGUAUUUGAUUCCUGUUCUGAGGAGAGUGAGGAGCAGGAGGAAGAAAUAGUGUUCUCAGAAGCAGAGCGAGAAAUGAGGGACAGAGGAGUCCCACCUGCUUACAGAGCAAACCAACAGGACAGUGAUAUUGAAGCCCUGGUUGGGUGUUUGGAAAACGUCCUGGGUUGUACCUCUCAAGACACAAGGACCAUUACCAGUGUGGCUGUGGACAUGUCCCCCAGACCAUCCAUUUUCAACAGUGUGAUGGCCAGGACCAAGAUGAAGCACGUGAAGGAAUCAGGAUGUAAAGUUCUCAUUACUGCUCAGCACCAUGCCUGUCUGCUUCCUACCAUGAUGAUCAUGAACUAACCUUCUGAAACGGUAAGCUAUCCCCCAGUUAAAUGCUUCCUUUACAAAAGUUCCCCUGGUCAUGGUGUCUCAUCACAGCAAUAGAAUAGUGACUAAGACAAGGACCACACAGGCCUGGGCAAUUUCCUAGCGAUGUUUCAAGGAAGUCCUUCCUGGUGAUAUGUGGAUAUGGAGGGGCUCAAAGAGCAAGGAGGCAGAGGAAGUUGCCCCCAUAGUUCCUAUGGGAGAGGGUGGUGACCUGGACCAGGGAGAGGGCAGUGGAAAUGGACAAAAUUGUAUGUAUGGAGGGAGGUCGUGGAGCUGGUGUUGGCAGGAUCUACUAAUCACUGUGGGAAGAGACCAGUGAGUAAGGUAGAGGCUUCUCAGGUUUUGUACUUUUAGGCAUUUGUGUUAUGUAUAGAUGAAGACUUCUGGGUAAGUCUCAUCAACAUUGUUGAUAUAAUUGAGUAGCACUGGCUGGACUAUUUAUUAGUAACUUUUCUCUUGCAGUGAUAAAUAUCAUGACCAAGAGUAACUAGCUUACAGAAGGAGGAAUCUAUUUGGGCUUCCAUAAUGUGAGGAAGGCAUAGCCACACGCUGCUGGAGCAGGAAGCUGGCUGGUCACAUCUUAUCACACAGGAAACCAAGGGAAUGAACUAGAAAGGGGACAAGGUAUAAACUCUCCCAGCCCUCCCUCAGUGACACAUGUCCUCCAGCAAGGCCUUACCUUAAAGGUUCCAUAACCUACCCAAGCAGCACCACCCACCGGGGGCCCCAUGUUGGAGCCUACAGGGACAAAUGGAAGCAUCCUUAUUUCUCUCCCUGUUCUGAAGUUUAAGAACAUGGCUCUGAUAUGUGCUUUGCAUCUGGUGGGUACAUUCUUACCUGUAAGGAUUCUGUCAUGUUCCAAAGUGGUACAAAGCAUGUCAGGGAGAGACAGAGAAACCAUGUCAGGGAGAGUCUUCUCAGAACAACACCACUUGACAAAGAGCUCAUUAAUCUAUUAGUCCAUGAGUAGAUUAAUCUCUCCUGAUUUAGGAGGACCUCCGAAAGUCCUGCCUGAUCCUCCUCCUCCUCCUCCUCCUCCUCCUCCUCCUCCUCCUACUUCUUCUUCUUCUUCUUCUUCUUCUUCUUCUCUCUCUCUCUCUCUCUCUCUCUCUCUCUCUCUCUCUCUCUCUCUCUCUCUCUCUCUCUUUGGUUUUUAUGAGACAGGCUCUCACUAUGUAGCCCUGACUGUCCUGAAAGUUGCUAUGAACACCAGGCUGGCCUCGAACUCACUGAUCUGUCUUCCUCUGCCUCCUAGCUGCUGGGAUAAAAUGUGAGUGCCACUGUGCCCAGUCUGAUCCUACUUCUCAAUACCUCACAUGAGGAUUCCUUUCAACAUGAAUUUUGUUGAAAGCAUUCAAAAUUUGACAUUGUGAUUUGACUGCAUAAAAAUUGCAUAAAACGUUUGUAAAGUUGGCUGAAAUUAUUUGUGAGGGUUUGUCCACUGACAGUUUGUGUUCUGGAGACUUAACCCUCACUAAGGCAGUUUUGAAAUAGCAGGACCCUUAAGAAGUGAAGCUGAGUGGGAAUAGUUAGGUUACUGGAAAUAUGAGGCAGAGAAAAGCAAGUCAGUUCAAAGGUCAUGCACAGGAGAGAUUAUAAGGAUGGACGAUAGAGUCACCAGUUCCUCGUCACUAAUAUGGGGACAGAGAGCAGUUAACUUUGUGAUGUAGCUUGGCAAUUGGAGACUUUGAUGACAUGGGCAGUUGAGCAUGGAGAGGGCAUAGUGGAAGGUGGGUUAAAGAGAGGAGUGUUUGGUUAUGGAGAACCAGGAAGAAGAUCUUAGAGAGUCCAGAUCCAUGUGAGGACACAGCAUGGCUGGCCAAAGCCCAGGGAAUUGCUGUAAAGGUGUUAGAUUCAGGGAUGGGGGGGGGGAGAAGGAAAGUGAGAAGCCAAGUGGAUAAGGAGGCCAGAAACUGACCCAUGUUGGCGAGGUAAUGUGAGCCAGCCAAUAUACUCAGUGACCAAAAGGAGGUACAAAGCCAGCCUGGCAGCAGAGGGCAAAGUGGCCACACCAAGACAUGCCCUCCCAGGGAUGGAUUCCAGCCGGGACCCAGCUUUUGACCUUUCAGAAGCAGCUCUGGUGCCCAUGCCUAGAAGCUUCAAUUGCUGUGUCUUCUUUCCCGAUCUAACCCAGAUCUAAGGGUGACAUGUCAUCUGGAAACUCUUGGGUGGCUAGUCAAAGGGAAGGUGUGUGUGUGUGUCCAUGUGUAUCCCUCCAGGACCCCAGCCUGUGCCAAAUGCAACUGCAUCUAGGUUGAUACCACAGGACCUCCAUCACUUCUGAGAAGGAGACUCAGAAACAGGAAGGAGUGAAGGAGCGCCGGGGACAUGAAAGAUACAGGGAGGCUCCUCCACCAACCAGUCCCUGGGCUGGAGGAAAUCUGCAUUCCAGACUCUUCCCCAAAGUCUGGCGUUCACCCUGGUCACUGGAGCAGAACCAGGGCCACCCAGACCCAACCUCAACCCUUCUUCAUGGACCACUGGCGAAGAGCUUGUCUUCCCCUCAGUGUGUCAAACUCCACAUGGGACUCAGCAAGUAUAAGCAGGAGCUAUAAAUGCAAGCGGGAAGGUCUAGUCGGGAAUGCUGUUCCAAGUCUCACAUUCUCCUCCCUCUAGGGCUUCUGAAGGCCCCAGCUGAUAGAUUUACAACAUCCCAGGCACCCAGCAAGAGUUGCAGGGUGUGGAUGGAGACAAAGGUCUACUGAACAGGAGAGAAAGGGAGCUGAAUGAUCUCGUGUUUGAGAGACAAGGAGUGCACCCCAAUUCCUAGAAACUCACUCCUGUGCAACCGCGCCAUUAAUUCUUGAUCAUGCAUGUGUACCACUUCCACCCACAAAACGUCCGAGGUGGGGGCAUCUGAUUAGCGGGUUCAUCAUCAGUCUCCAUUCUGGCCUGGAGGGACAGAGAGGGAAUAUCUGCUUGCUCUUAGCUUUUAUGAGAGACUUGGGCUAUUUGUAGCCUCUAUAAUAGACUUGUACUGGCUAGUUUAUGUCAAUGUGAUAAAAGGCAGAGUCAUCUGAGAGGAGGGAACCUGAAACCAGAAACUUCCUAGUAAGACUGGGCCGUAGGCAAGCCUGCAGAGCAUUUUCAAAUUACUGAUUGACGUGGGAGCACCCAGCACAUUGUGGGUGGUGCCAACCCUGGCCUGGUGGUUGUGAAUUCUAUAAGAAAGUCUUAGCAAGACACGAGGAGUGAGCCAGUAAGCAGCACCCCUCCAUGGCCUCUGCAUCAGCUCCUGCCUUCAAGUUCCCACCCAAUUGGAGUUCCUGCCUUGGUUUCCCUCAGGGCCUGUGAUUCAGGAUAUGUAAGCCAAAUAAACCAUUCCUCCCCAA
RNA transcript from Peromyscus californicus insignis, 5179 nucleotides. It is a transcript of the gene named NIMA related kinase 11, with no coding region annotated. The record is from RefSeq and is a predicted model, not a curated record. NCBI's taxonomy places the organism in Eukaryota, Metazoa, Chordata, Mammalia, Rodentia, Cricetidae. The transcript has 16 exons.